AUUGAACGCUGGCGGCAUGCCUUACACAUGCAAGUCGAACGGUAACGCGGGGCAACCUGGCGACGAGUGGCGAACGGGUGAGUAAUGCAUCGGAACGUACCCAGUAGUGGGGGAUAGCCCGGCGAAAGCCAGAUUAAUACCGCAUACGACCUAAGGGUGAAAGCGGGGGACCGUAAGGCCUCGCGCUAUUGGAGCGGCCGAUGUCAGAUUAGGUAGUUGGUGGGGUAAAGGCCUACCAAGCCUUCGAUCUGUAGCUGGUCUGAGAGGACGACCAGCCACACUGGGACUGAGACACGGCCCAGACUCCUACGGGAGGCAGCAGUGGGGAAUUUUGGACAAUGGGCGCAAGCCUGAUCCAGCCAUGCCGCGUGCGGGAAGAAGGCCU
RNAcentral lists this ribosomal RNA (385 nucleotides) under uncultured bacterium. RNAcentral's name for it is "bacterial SSU rRNA". It matches the Rfam family "Bacterial small subunit ribosomal RNA", at positions 29 to 417 of the family's 1533-position model. The record is from RNAcentral.